AGAGUUUGAUCCUGGCUCAGAACGAACGCUGGCGGCGUGGAUAAGACAUGCAAGUCGAGCGCGAAUUCAUCUGUAGCAAUACAGGUGAGUUUGAGCGGCGCAAGGGUGCGUAACACGUGGGUAAUUUGCCGUGAAGUUGGGGAUAACUCGCUGAAAGGCGAGCUAUACCGAAUGUGGAAUGAGAGUGGCAUCACUUUUUUUCUAAAGCUGGGGAUCGUAAGACCUGGCGCUUCAUGAUAAGCCCGCGGCCUAUCAGCUAGUUGGUGCGGUAACGGCGCACCAAGGCUAAGACGGGUAGCUGGUCUGAGAGGACGACCAGCCACACUGGAACUGAGACACGGUCCAGACACCUACGGGUGGCAGCAGUCGAGAAUUUUUCUCAAUGGGCGCAAGCCUGAAGGAGCGACGCCGCGUGUGGGAUGAAGGGUUUCGAUCCGUAAACCCCUGUCAUUUGUGAACAAUGGUCAUUAUUUAAAAGAUGGUGACUUGAUAGUAAUGAAAGAGGAAGGGACGGCUAACUCUGUGCCAGCAGCCGCGGUAAUACAGAGGUCCCGAGCGUUGUUCGGAUUCACUGGGCGUAAAGGGUGCGUAGGUGGCAUGGUAAGUUUGAUGUGAAAGCUCAGGGCUCAACCCUGAAAUGGCAUUGAAUACUACUGUGCUGGAGGUUUGGAGGGGGGACUGGAAUUCUUGGUGUAGCAGUGAAAUGCGUAGAUAUCAAGAGGAACACCAGUGGCGAAGGCGAGUCCCUGGACAACACCUGACACUGAGGCACGAAAGCUAGGGGAGCAAACAGGAUUAGAUACCCUGGUAGUCCUAGCCCUAAACGGUGCGCAUUUGCUGUAGGAGGAAUCGACCCCUUCUGUGGCGAAGCUAACGCGAUAAAUGCGCCGCCUGGGGAGUACGGUCGCAAGAUUAAAACUCAAAUGAAUUGACGG
Molecule: ribosomal RNA, 935 nt
Filed under: uncultured bacterium
Lineage: Bacteria
Description: bacterial SSU rRNA
Rfam family: Bacterial small subunit ribosomal RNA
Source: RNAcentral